Molecule: non-coding RNA, 1158 nt
Organism: Paramuricea clavata
Lineage: Eukaryota; Metazoa; Cnidaria; Anthozoa; Malacalcyonacea; Plexauridae
Source: the annotation of a GenBank genome assembly
GAAAAACAAACUAAAUCACUGUAAUUCACAACCGACUACAGAAGCUAGCGGAAGUGAGACACUUUUUGUACUCUGACUGUAAAAACUGUGUUUGUAUCAAUCACAAACGUCGCUUGCCUAAGCUCACUAUUGAGUAUGAGGUUAGAUAAGCAGUUUAUCUUCGUGUGACUGCAUGAUAAAAGCUUUGAAUUCGUGUUAUAAUGGUUAUUCGUGCAAAUACGUGUUUCAGACAUUGCAACAAUUUACAAAAUACAUAACACAAUAAACGCCAUAGCAGAACAAAGUUUAUAAUAAGGCUAACAACAUAUUCAUUUAAAAACCUGUCAUGAUGCUCGUACAAAAAUUGGAAGUCCUUGAAAGUCCUUGAAAGUCCUUGAAAGUCCUUGAAAGUCCUUGAAAGUCCUUGAAGUCCUUGAAAGUUCUUGAAUUUGUAAAGAUUACUUAUUCAAGAAUUACUUAUUAUAAAGAAUUACUAAAAUUUUCCUCGCUUUAGUUUUUUCUGAAAUUGUUUGACAUUAAAAAACGGACAUUUUGUUGAAAUUGAUUUUUUUCAUGUCUUAUUGUUUGAGAUUCUUUGUUAAAGUUGUUGUUUGAACAAUUUAAUUUUCUUUUUUCACAUUUGAACACAAUUCGAAAAAUUAUUCGUGCCAAAACCGCGCUAGUUGGGAAACGUAAUUUAUUCCUAUCCGGAAUAAAUGUUUUUCGUAUGAAUUAACGGCCCCCAUAAGGCAUAACUUUAUUUCUCCGCUGUUCAAGACAUAACAUAAAGAUAAUACAAUAAUAAAACGGAUGCUUUCUGGUCAAACAGCUGAAAUUUCGAAGCCGAAAGCUUGUUUGGAUGCUUUCUGGUCAAACAGCUGAAAUUUCAAAGCCGAAAGCUUGUUUUUAAUUAACAAUGUCAAUCUUUGAUAAAAUACAGCACUUGUUAGCAGCAAAUGUAUAAUUGAUUUCAAGUGCUCUUUUGCAAACAUGAAAAGGUCUUUUGUUUGUUCAGUCAUAAUUCAUGCUCAUAUCGUUGAAUAAAGAAUUCUACUUUCUCCAAUUUCUCAAUAUGUGAUAUAUGUGAAUUCAUCGAAUUAAUACUCCAUUUAGUUGUUGGCGGACCAAUGGGCCCACUUUAUAUGUAUACUGCAUCAGUCUUCACAUUUUUCUGAUAUA